This 460-nucleotide ribosomal RNA is filed under the name Veillonella parvula. RNAcentral's name for it is "bacterial SSU rRNA". It matches the Rfam family "Bacterial small subunit ribosomal RNA", at positions 28 to 461 of the family's 1533-position model. The record is from RNAcentral. Lineage: Bacteria; Bacillati; Bacillota; Negativicutes; Veillonellales; Veillonellaceae.
GACGAACGCUGGCGGCGUGCUUAACACAUGCAAGUCGAACGAAGAGCGAUGGAAGCUUGCUUCUAUCAAUCUUAGUGGCGAACGGGUGAGUAACGCGUAAUCAACCUGCCCUUCAGAGGGGGACAACAGUUGGAAACGACUGCUAAUACCGCAUACGAUCUAAUCUCGGCAUCGAGGAUAGAUGAAAGGUGGCCUCUACAUGUAAGCUAUCACUGAAGGAGGGGAUUGCGUCUGAUUAGCUAGUUGGAGGGGUAACGGCCCACCAAGGCGAUGAUCAGUAGCCGGUCUGAGAGGAUGAACGGCCACAUUGGGACUGAGACACGGCCCAGACUCCUACGGGAGGCAGCAGUGGGGAAUCUUCCGCAAUGGACGAUAGUCUGACGGAGCAACGCCGCGUGAGUGAUGACGGCCCUUCGGGGUUGUAAAAGCUCUGUUAAAUCGGGACGAAAAGGCCUUUCUG